RNAcentral lists this small RNA (28 nucleotides) under Bombyx mori (domestic silkworm). Its description in RNAcentral is "ovarian small RNA-16025". Lineage: Eukaryota; Metazoa; Arthropoda; Insecta; Lepidoptera; Bombycidae. The record is from RNAcentral.
GAGUGUAAUCUUGUUUGUUGUCAUAUAG